UGAAGAAGAUGCUUUUCAGAGGUUUUUUCUUCAAAAGAGCUUUGGCUGCAGCUGCCUUCCUUCGAGAGAGCGUCAGUCCUCAUCUUCAUCCUGGAUGUAAUCUCCUGGCUCCAGUGCGGAUCUCUCAGCCUUCGGCUACAGGGGCAGAACUGGAGAAAUGGAGGCAGAUUUCAGCAUACGAUGAGGAGGAAUCAAAGGAAGAUGUAUCAAAAUUCACUUCAACAAAAUCUUAGGUUUGCUGAGGCUACACAUCAUACCCAUUACUGAGCCCAGAGUGAUUGGUCUGAGAUGUAACAAGCUUGGAUGUAUGUGUUAUUGUUGUUCUGAGACAUGAUCUUGCUACAUUGCCAGAUUGGCCUUGAACUCUCAAGGUCAAGUGCUUCUGCUGACUUUAGCCUCCCCAGUAGCUGGGACUACAGUAUUUAAAAUCGAAUCACCCAGGCAUGGAUUUUGUGUUGGCCUUUGAGGCCUAGGUGUUAUCUGGAUGACUCCUACUUGAAACUAUUAUUACUCAUUAAUCCUUGAGAUAAUUAAUUUUUAUUAGAUGCCUAAACCUGUGACCUGGCUGACCCAGGACAGCUACAUUUAAUUAACAAGGAAGCAUAUCAGGAAAAACUUCAAAGCAAUAGCUUAAGGAUUGGGAAAACAUAAAUGGUGUGACACGACAGCCCUACACAGCCAAAAGAAUCACCUAUGUGUGGAGAAGUGUCGAGGACAAGUGGCUGGCUGAACACUUUCACCAGAGAUGAAUUUCAUAGGCAAAUGAGAGGAAGGUUUUCCUCUUGCAGAAUUCCAUGGCAGAGUUUGAUCUUGGCACUGUUUUCUGUGGAACCAUGAAGAAGUGUGAGAAUUCUUCAUAUAGUUCUUCAGAUGAAAAGAGGUGACUUCAAUGCCUUUCCUAUUAUAAUUCUGUGUGAAGCUAGCUUUGAGCUAUCUUUAAAUACAACUCAAUGUGAUGUGCUUGCCUAAGGCAACUGACAUUUCAAAUUGAGAUUAUUUUCACCCCCAAAGCAAGAAAGUCUGCUCUUUCCUGUAGUUACAGCUGUAUAAAUGAAGU
Non-coding RNA from Heterocephalus glaber (naked mole-rat), 1057 nucleotides. The record is from RefSeq and is a predicted model, not a curated record. Lineage: Eukaryota; Metazoa; Chordata; Mammalia; Rodentia; Bathyergidae.